This 5594-nucleotide long non-coding RNA is filed under the name Homo sapiens (human). RNAcentral's name for it is "HSALNT0231432". The record is from RNAcentral. Lineage: Eukaryota; Metazoa; Chordata; Mammalia; Primates; Hominidae.
AGGGAGACCAUUUUGAAAAUGGCUGCCUUCGCUAUUCCAAAGAAAACACUCACGCUAGCCACGAGGACAAAAAGCAUUUAUUUUUGUCUGGGCAAAUUUGCCUUCAGACCAAAAGCUUCUCAAGAUGGCAAAUGUUCUGCCUGCUAGGAUGUUGCCAGAUAAAACAAUUACUUACUAGAGUCAAAAUAACUCCAAAAGCUAUGCACUGAAGAAGGCAAUGAACAAUGAAAAGGGGUCAGGCGUGGUGGCUCACGCCUAUAAUUCCAACACUUUGGGAGGCUGAGGCCAGAGGGCGGCUUGAGUCCAGGAGUUCAAGGCUGCAGUGAGCUAUGAUUGCACCACUGCACUUCAGCCUGGGUGUCAGAGCGAGACCCUGUCUCUAAAUAUAUAAAUUAAAAAGAAUGAAAAGAAUACUUCACCUCAGACCUCAGCCUUUCAUCCUUCAGCUGAAUGGAAUAUUUGGAUCUCACCUAUGAGCUCAAUAAGAAAAGAAAAACACAAAUGACUGAAAGCAGGACUUCAGCAGCCCUGAGAAAUCAUGGACGGGAAUCCACCUUUGUUUACUACAAAACACCCUGCUUCACGGUUUCUCAUUGUGCUACCUUCCUUCGGGGGAACCCCAGGAUUUCACAGGCUGAUAUCCCCAGCUACAUCCAAGUUUCCAGAAAUGAGGAUCCAUAGGCACAAAGUGAGGUGUCCCCAACCCUCCCUUUUUACAGCCCAUGCCUGAUAUUUAUCGGAACGUCCACAAGGCGAUGGUGAACGGUGGCCAAAUGAGAAGCUCAGUGUCUGGGAAAAUGAUUGAAAAUGGCCAAGUGCCACAGUGAGAGUUGUUUGUUCUGGGAAUGGAAGGAGGAAAUUGUCAGAGGAAGUGAAAUAGGAAAUGAAGAGAUCAAAGGGAGGAGGAAAUAAGAUUGAAUUGAGCCCUUUUUGGAUUCAACUUUGCACUCUUAACCCAUGUGAGGCAAAAAGAUUAGCCUUUAAACAGCUGGAGUUGGGGAGAAACACUUUCCAACGGGUGCAUCCUGGCGACUGUUAGCUCCCACAUCCCACCCCACAAAUGGACUGCAGCAGGGGAGCUGAGGGAAGCCAGAUCCGUUUCCUACAGAAAAUCCAGUGGUUUCUGAUGGCAGGAGGGAGGCGGUCUAUCUUCACUGCGGAUGGCGAGGUGCCUUUUGGAGGAGGAGGAUGGAGAGAAAGGGUCUCCAACAGCGAACCUUUGUCCUGCAAUGCAAAUGAACCUCUGCAAAACAGGGCGCAGACAAUGCCAGCCUAGUCCUCUGCGCGAAGCGAUCCAUCUGCAGCUAUUUUGUUAACCUGAUGUUUCUUACAUUCUUUCUCUCAUACAAAAUACUUGAUUUUGACAGCUGUGAAUUUUAAACAACCAUUCUGUGUAUGUUUUUCUAAUUUUGUGUAUUCAGAUUGUUUCUCCAUAUUGGGGGGGUUGGAAGCCAAGUACUUUACAUUCCUUCGUUUAGAGAUUUCAUGCUUUUCGAAAGUCGUGGCGGUUCUGAUCGCUAAACAAAGUAGAAAUGAAGUGUGCUCACCAGCAGCAUUGGAAUGACCGGGGAGUGCAGAAGCACUUUUGAAAUAAAAAAGGUUGCACAAGCGGACUGGAGGCAGGGCUCAGGAGUGACACAUCACUCAGUCACACUCUGGUGGCCCCAGGAAGCUGCGUCUGCCCUCACUUACCUGUAAAAUGGGGCUGCAACAACAUUCUCACAAGGCAGAAAAUAAAGAUCUCAUAUAUCCAGGUCCAUCAACCCAGUUUUAUUUCCCCUUUCCAGCUCUAGUUACAUUGUUCUGGCAGCCAAUCUUUCUUCUUAGGUAGCAUGCAAAGGCAUGGAUUUGUUUUUAAGCAUGAAGGAAAACAAAACGUGCUCUCAGACUGAGGCUAGCGUUGAUAAGACACCACAAUUGGGUGCAUGGUUUUAAAACUGGUUUAUUUAUUUAUUUAUACCUUUGCCUCACCGAUAGAAGGCAGUUCACCACCCAAACCACAAAUGAUAAAAACAAAAACUCUGGACAAGAAAAAAGGAAGCUGCAAAUAGGGCAAUUAUAAGGCUCAUUUUGUUUGCUACCACUGAGCUUUGAAAUCUGACUCACAGCUUCCUGGCAGCAAGAGUGAAAAGGGGAUGACGAUUAAUGACAAAGCCUCACUUCACUGGAGUAUACAGUUCUUCAAAGGAGAGAAGAAUUUUCCAGAUGCUUCAUUUUCAAAUAAAUUCUGCACUCAGGGCUCUUUAUAACGGGUCAAUGAGAACAGAAGUUCGCUGUCAACUGUGAGAGCAAACAGAGCUGCAAAAUUGCCAGGGCCAGAGCAAAAAAGUGAAGCAAAGGGGCACCUGUCUAGUGCCCAUUCCAGUUGUCUGGUGGUGGGCUCACAAAGUCUUAUCUUGAGAAGGAUUCAAGACCACAUCUAAGCUGGGCAAAAAAGAGGCUACACUAUGUUAGAGAUGCCUGCCAUAGGCAGAGGGCAGAUGAUGGCCCACACGUGUGCUGAAUAACUCCUAACCUUGGCUAAAUAAAUACAGCACAAAUGAGCAGGUUUCUGGUCUCCAACUUGAUCCAAAGAUAGAGCUCUAGGGGUUUAGUAGACUGGAUGGCAAUCAGGAUUUUUAGAUGUCCCUGAAUAACACUUUUCUCAGCUGGGACUCUGAGAGGAGGUAGAAGGCUGAUUGGAGUUUCUAUCAAUGCUUUGAAGGCAAAGCAAGCAGAUGGUGGGCUUGACAGCCGAAACUGUAGAAGCCUGAGCUGCAAACACACCCGAUUCAGGGCUGUACCACCUCCACACAGGCAUGGACCAGAUACUCUUUUUUUGUAAUUUGUAAGAUAUUUUUUCCUAUAGGAUACACUUUAGGGAAUUUCCUCUUUCUAUAUUUCACAUUUCUCUAUUAUUUGAACUUAUAACACAAAUCAGAGAAGAGUAUACUUAUUUUAAAUAUUUAGAUAUUAAAAUAUUUAAUAUUAAAAUAAUUUAGACAUUAUUUUAAAUUAGUCUUCCCUUUUUUCUUUCUUUCUUUUCCUUUUCUUUCUUUCUCUUUUUUCUUCUUUCUUUUCCUUUCUUUCUUUCUUUCUUUCUUUCUUUCUUUCUUUCUUUCUUUCUUUCUUUCUUCUUUCCUUCCUUCUUUCUUUCUCCCCUUCCUUCCUUUCUUACUUCCCUUCCUUCCUUCCUUUCUCCCCUUCCUUCCUUCCUUCCUUCCUUCCUGCCUUCCUUCCUUCCCUCCCUCUCUCUCUCUCUUUCUUUCUUUCUUCCUUUCUUUCUUUCCUUCACUACAAGUAUGCCAACAACCUGUAAGGACUAUCUUUAGAGUUCAGUAAAGCAAAAAUUUGAUCAAUAGGAACUCAUCUAAUGGUUUCAUUCACUCUACCCUUGGAAAGGAACAGAUAAUAAGAAAAGAAGCUCAGAGUCUAUGGUGGCCACAGAUCUUUCACAGACCCUGAAAAUUCACUCCCUCUUACCCCGUCUUCAGGGUCUCUACUUGGACAGGACAACAGUCAACAGGGUAUCCCGAAGGCCUGUCGUCAAGAAAACAAGUUAACAAACAACAACAACAAAACCAUUCACUUCAUCAAUAAUCAAGGCAGGAAAUACAAAGUAAUACCCUGGAACAAAAAUGGUUCAAAAAUGAAAUGGGUUGUGCAGAAGGCAGAAAGUCCAGGUAUCUUGGCUAGAUCCAGAGGCACUGCCCUUUGUGCACCUAGACCUCAAAUUCUCUUUUAGUUGCAAGACUCUGCCAUCCUGAGAGUGUCUGAACACGUUUUUCAGAAGACUCUGUAACAACAGUGAAUUUUUCAAAGCAGUUUUCUGGUGAGGCUUCAAUUAACCAGAAAAUCAGAUUAAUUGUGCAUGAACUUCUAUUUCUGGGAACAGUUUGACCCAUGGAAUAUGCAAGUAAGACGUGUAAAAGUAAGACGUGUUAAAAUGGGGCUCUCUGGUAUUUGCUUUAGAGCAUGGAAGAAUGGGAAAACAAGACAGUGAGGGCUGGGGGCCAAAGAAAAUGCUAUAUUUAGAUGUGCAGGGCUUUGUUUGGCCCUGAUACCAUCGUAGACACAGUUAGUCGGGAACAAGGGGGCCAUUCAAUCAAUCCACCUGACACGCUGUCGCCGGCCCGUGCGUUCCACAGGCACAGAGCUCAAAACCAUCCUGAAAGAGGCUGUCGACUGAGAAGAGGUAACAGCUGCUCUGUGGCAAUUAACCAGCAGUUUCUGUUGCUGAAGGAGAUUAUUUUGGAUGGCGUAAAGAGAUUCAAAUAAAAAUGUCAACGUGCCCAUUAUGGAUGAAAGUUAGAAAAACUUAAGUGGCCCUGAAUUAAUCACUAUUUGACAGGAAGGCACGUAAACGAGUACUAAAAAUCCCCCACAAAUCUAUUUUCCUGCCUUUUUGGUGAUUGUAAAGAAGCUCACUGGGGGUGGGGAGGGCAUUUCUUGGCUGCAACCUUAAUUCAUCUUGGAGUGAAGAUUUAAUGACAAAGUUACAAGCCCUUAAAGUAGCAUUUAUUGAGGGGCUAAUGAGAGUUCCUAAGAACUCUGAAAAAAAAAAAGAAAAAGAAAAAAUAGCAGCCACUAACACAAGAGGCCUUUGAAAAUACCGAAGAGAGGGGAGUUCAUUAGUCUUUUUUUUCUUCCCCUUUCUCAACAAUGAAUGUUUCUGCUGCCAAACCUUCAGGAAUAGGGUUGGUUUCCUUUCAAGUAAUUGAUGCAGACUUUGCUUGUGCAUCGGAGUCCAGACACUCUUUCCAACAAGAAGCAGGAAAUCUCACCGUCAAAGGGAAACUGUGCAUUCCUUCCUCUCUGGCUGGGUCGGGGCCUUGCAAACAGUGGAUUUAUGCUGCCCUUGCCAAAAACACCGCCGAUUUCCACGCCCUCCCAUGGCUAAGAUAACGAAUGCUGCCUUCGGCCUCUGAGAGCUGCACUUAUUUAAAACUCCAGCUAUGCUGUAACAAAACCGGCUGCUGUCACCCCAAAUCGAGCAAAUGAGCCCCUGUCCUACAGCAUAAAGGCUAAGAGAGUUAUUGAAUGUCCCCUGCGGAGAAGGCCCCAUUUGCCCCUGCCGUCCCUUAGCAUUCCCCCUCACCCCUCUUCUCGGCCCUCUCGCCUCCACUCCUCCAUUCCAGGAGCACAGGAAGGAAUAGCUGUGGCUGGUCUGUUCCGAAAGGAUCGAGUUUUCUUAAGUCAGAAUUUUUUUCUUUUAAAGAAAAAGCAGAAGUGGAAAGGAAUGUUGUGAAGAAAAUGGAAGCUGGCAAAGUGUUUUAACUUCAAAUAAUCUUCCCGUCAAUGCUGACACCCAAACGUAAUGCUCUUUUGUAAAUGUAAAUAUAACUGAACAGUUAUAGGAAGUGGAGAAGGAAGGAGAGGGGCUGUAAACCGCCAAAUGUAAAACAGGUAUCGUGACUUCUGGUCGCUCAAGACAGAGAGAAGCAUUGCUUUUGGAGCUAUUAUCCCCAAGGAGUCUCAAAAAUGAUCUACAACAUGUAAUUAAACUGACAUGCAGAAAACAUGUGUAUUUAGAAAAUGCUCUCACUGUUGUUUAUGCCUAACCAAAACAUUCCAUUUCUCUCAGGAUACAAAAGGAAGGUUUUGCAAUAAAAGUG